CCUACGGGGGGCAGCAGUGGGGAAUAUUGCACAAUGGGGGGAACCCUGAUGCAGCGACGCCGCGUGGGUGAAGGAGUAUUUCGGUAUGUAAAGCCCUAUCGGCAGGGAAGAAUUUAGACGGUACCUGACUAAGAAGCCCCGGCUAACUACGUGCCAGCAGCCGCGGUAAUACGUAGGGGGCAAGCGUUAUCCGGAUUCACUGGGUGUAAAGGGAGCGUAGACGGCCAGGCAAGCCUGGAGUGAAAGCCCGGGGCCCAACCCCGGGACUUCUCUGGGAACUGUCCGGCGGGAGUGCGGGAGGGGCAGGCGGAAUUCCUAGUGGAGCGGUGAAAUGCGUAGAUAUUAGGAGGAACACCAGUGGCGAAGGCGGCUUACUGGACUGUAACUGACGUUGAGGCUCGAAAGCGUGGGGAGCAAACAGGAUUAGAUACCCCUGUAGUC
This 441-nucleotide ribosomal RNA is filed under the name uncultured bacterium. RNAcentral's name for it is "partial 16S ribosomal RNA". It matches the Rfam family "Bacterial small subunit ribosomal RNA", at positions 338 to 795 of the family's 1533-position model. The record is from RNAcentral.